Molecule: ribosomal RNA, 254 nt
Filed under: uncultured bacterium
Lineage: Bacteria
Description: partial 16S ribosomal RNA
Rfam family: Bacterial small subunit ribosomal RNA
Source: RNAcentral
UACGGGGGGGGCAAGCGUUGUUCGGAAUUACUGGGCGUAAAGGGCGCGUAGGCGGCCAGCACAAGUCAGUUGUGAAAUCUCCGAGCUUAACUCGGAAAGGUCAACUGAUACUGUGCGGCUAGAGUGCAGAAGGGGCAACUGGAAUUCUUGGUGUAGCGGUGAAAUGCGUAGAUAUCAAGAGGAACACCUGCGGCGAAGGCGGGUUGCUGGGCUGACACUGACGCUGAGGCGCGAAAGCCAGGGGAGCGAACGGG